Molecule: ribosomal RNA, 1029 nt
Filed under: Bacillus sp. (in: firmicutes)
Lineage: Bacteria; Bacillati; Bacillota; Bacilli; Caryophanales; Bacillaceae
Description: bacterial SSU rRNA
Rfam family: Bacterial small subunit ribosomal RNA
Source: RNAcentral
AUANUGCAAGUCGAGCGAAUGAUUGGGAGCUUGCUCCCAUGAUUUAGCGGCGGACGGGUGAGUAACACGUGGGCAACCUACCUGUAAGACUGGGAUAACUUCGGGAAACCGGAGCUAAUACCGGAUAAUUUCUUUUCUCGCAUGAGAGAAGAUGGAAAGACGGUUUCGGCUGUCACUUACAGAUGGGCCCGCGGCGCAUUAGCUAGUUGGUGAGGUAAUGGCUCACCAAGGCCACGAUGCGUAGCCGACCUGAGAGGGUGAUCGGCCACACUGGGACUGAGACACGGCCCAGACUCCUACGGGAGGCAGCAGUAGGGAAUCUUCCGCAAUGGACGAAAGUCUGACGGAGCAACGCCGCGUGAGCGAAGAAGGCCUUCGGGUCGUAAAGCUCUGUUGUUAGGGAAGAACAAGUACCAGAGUAACUGCUGGUACCUUGACGGUACCUAACCAGAAAGCCACGGCUAACUACGUGCCAGCAGCCGCGGUAAUACGUAGGUGGCAAGCGUUGUCCGGAAUUAUUGGGCGUAAAGCGCGCGCAGGUGGUUCUUUAAGUCUGAUGUGAAAGCCCACGGCUCAACCGUGGAGGGUCAUUGGAAACUGGGGAACUUGAGUGCAGAAGAGGAAAGUGGAAUUCCACGUGUAGCGGUGAAAUGCGUAGAGAUGUGGAGGAACACCAGUGGCGAAGGCGACUUUCUGGUCUGUAACUGACACUGAGGCGCGAAAGCGUGGGGAGCGAACAGGAUUAGAUACCCUGGUAGUCCACGCCGUAAACGAUGAGUGCUAAGUGUUAGAGGGUUUCCGCCCUUUAGUGCUGCAGCUAACGCAUUAAGCACUCCGCCUGGGGAGUACGGCCGCAAGGCUGAAACUCAAAGGAAUUGACGGGGGCCCGCACAAGCGGUGGAGCAUGUGGUUUAAUUCGAAGCAACGCGAAGAACCUUACCAGGUCUUGACAUCCUUUUGCCCUCCCUAGNGAUAGGGACUUCCCUUCGGGGACAAAAGUGACAGGUGGUGCAUGGUUGUCGUCAGCUC